RNAcentral lists this transfer RNA (71 nucleotides) under Phrynosoma platyrhinos (Desert horned lizard). RNAcentral's name for it is "tRNA-OTHER". Lineage: Eukaryota; Metazoa; Chordata; Lepidosauria; Squamata; Phrynosomatidae. The record is from RNAcentral.
GCCAGUUUGGUGUAGUGAUUUGAGAGUUGGACUAGGACUCUGAAGACCAGGGUUCAAAUCCCUGCUUGGCC